CUUGCCCUUUAGCUUCCCAACUGUGCUACCACAACCCUGCUGCCAAAUCAUAGCCAAUUUUUGUAUCUAGAUCUACAUGUAUACUCAUUUCUCCUAUGCAGGACCUUGCCCCUAUAAGGAGUGAAGCCCCCUGCCGGUUUUGGAAGCAAGGUUCUGAAGAGAACUGGUACCUGCUCUCUAGACACUUCAUGAAUUCAAUGUAACACAUACUUUUUGUAGCAAUAUACUGAGAAUACAAUGUGCCAGCUUUUUGUUAUCCUGAAAGAAUAUGUUUUCAUAGUGUUUAUAGUAUGGCUGCCUUCCUGAUGAGUGGAAGAUCCAUAAGAUUGUGUUAAUCUUUGAAUCUGGUGAUCCCUGUGAUGUUGAAAAUUAUAUUAUAGACCAAUCUGUCUUCUGAGCAUUCUAUCAAAGGUCCUAGAAUCAAUUGUAUACAAAAAAGCUUUCUGGCUAAUCAUUCCUUGGUAUCCCAGUUAGAUCUACUGCUCUCCUUUGAUAAAGCAUUUGAUUGGGUCUCACGGGUCUCUGUGGAGGUGGUUCCGAUGGUACUUAUCAAAAAGAUAUCACCUUGUUAGUAUUGAUGGCUACUCCUCUGACAUACUUCCCGUCAGAUGAUUCUAAACUUCAGAGUGUUAUCUGUAGCCCAUCUGAUUCUUUGUCGCUCCAGUCUGACAUAAAUGCAUUGGUCUCAUGGACUCAUUCGAAUUUUCUGUUCAUCAGCCCACGUAAGUGUACCCUCAUAAGAUUCUUCUUUAAUGACUGUAGCUCUCUGGUUUACUGUGUGGACAGUGAUCAAAUCUCUGUUCCUCUAUGUCAUUGUGACCUUGGCGUAAUGGUUUGUGGUGAUGUAUCAUGGGUCAGUCAUUAUGACUCCAUUUUCUCCAAAGCCUACAAUUAUCUUAAUUUAAUUUGUCGGACUUUCUCUACCUCUCUCAA
This is a long non-coding RNA of Amphimedon queenslandica, 933 nucleotides long. RefSeq lists it as uncharacterized. The record is from RefSeq and is a predicted model, not a curated record. The transcript is spliced from 4 exons. NCBI's taxonomy places the organism in Eukaryota, Metazoa, Porifera, Demospongiae, Haplosclerida, Niphatidae.